RNAcentral lists this ribosomal RNA (495 nucleotides) under uncultured bacterium. RNAcentral's name for it is "bacterial SSU rRNA". It matches the Rfam family "Bacterial small subunit ribosomal RNA", at positions 15 to 507 of the family's 1533-position model. The record is from RNAcentral.
GAUCAUGGCUCAGAUUGAACGCUGGCGGAAUGCUUUACACAUGCAAGUCGAACGGGUAGAGGGGGCAACCCCUCGAGAGUGGCGAACGGGUGAGUAAUAUAUCGGAACGUGCCCAGGUCGUGGGGGAUAACGUAGCGAAAGUUACGCUAAUACCGCAUACGAUCUACGGAUGAAAGCGGGGGAUCGCAAGACCUCGCGCGAUUGGAGCGGCCGAUAUCAGAUUAGGUAGUUGGUGGGGUAAAGGCUCACCAAGCCAACGAUCUGUAGCUGGUCUGAGAGGACGACCAGCCACACUGGAACUGAGACACGGUCCAGACUCCUACGGGAGGCAGCAGUGGGGAAUUUUGGACAAUGGACGCAAGUCUGAUCCAGCCAUUCCGCGUGCAGGAUGAAGGCCCUCGGGUUGUAAACUGCUUUUGUACGGAACGAAAAGGUUUCUAUUAAUACUAGGAGCUCAUGACGGUACCGUAAGAAUAAGCACCGGCUAACUACGUG